UAUCCAUAGCGUCUUUCCUUCCGCCCCGAGCAGCCGCGCUGCUAGCGCUUGCGAACCCCGCCGCCACCUCAAUUCCUCCGCGUUCGGUGCGACGCCGGAGCAUGCCUCGCAUGCCGGCGAGCUGACCAUCGAGCAGCAGCCACCGCGCCGCCCUCCUGCUUUGCCUUUUUCCCGUCCUUCCCUCCUCUCUCACCUCUCUCUGCCUCGCCUACACUGCGACACAGGGACGCCGCCGGCACGUGGAACGAGGCCGCCCCAACUGGAUCCACAUCCUCCUCCAUCGCCUGCUCUCCGCCGUCCGUCCUCACCGCGAAUCGGUCGUGCCGGUAGCCGUCGUUGCCAGAUCCUAGCUUGGCCACCCGCUGAAAGAUCCAGCGCCCUGCAACACUAACCUAUGCUCCAAUCUUUUCCCUGCCCAGCUCCAAUCUUUGAUCCGUCCAUGUUUGAGGUAAUGUGUACAGAGAACGAGAUUGCCGAGCCAACUCAGCAGGGAAGUAUCUAUCUGUUACUGCUAUUUCUGCAAUUUUGUAAGCCAGAUUUGUGCCAAGUGCAUUGCAUAAUAUAUCUCUAAAGGUCAUUGCUAUUUCUAUGAUCUUCCAUCAAUUUUUAUUACAACAGAAAAUGGUCCUUAUCACAUAUAUAGUAUGCACUGGACAACUGAUAUAUAUGAUGGUUGCAAUGGGCUGAUGGCGCAUCUAUUCACACCUUGGACAUUCAUCGCAAGCACACAAAUAAGAGUGACUCCAAGCUUUUUUCAGAACUGAGUUAGUAGUUACGUUAUCCGUAAGAGUAUCUUAGGUUUUAAGUGACAAUCUUCAAACUCUCUCUGCUUUAUUAAUUUACUUUUUAUAAAUAAUAUGAAGACUCAAAUUUGAAAAAUUAAACCAAUAAGUGUAUUUAGUGAAGUCAGAGGUCUGUUUGGAAUGUUCUUAGUGCAAGUCUGACAAUACAGUCAUGCUUCUUCUAUUUACUUUCAGUUCUAAAUACAUUUGUGAUUUUCUAUAUGCUGUACUACUAAACUGGGUGUGCUAAACCAAACAUAUAGUAUAUGAAAAGGAUUCUAAAAUGUGAGCUUAUAUUGACAACUCUUGAAAAUAUAUGGUUGUUUUACUGUUUUUGCCAUGAACUUGGGGAGCUUGGGAUGGAGUAUGGUGUCAAUGAUCGGUAUAUACCAGAACAAUAUUUUUGUGAUAUUGUAUAUACUAACUUAGUGAUAAUGGAGUAUAUACAACAUUUUUGUCAUGGACUCUAUACCGCAUUUUUGAACUGGUUAGAAUAGCUGAUGCCUUUUUUAUCUUCCUUGUGGUAUAUGCUACCAUCAAAGGGAGUAUAUAAGGUACUAAUUUCAAGUAUAUACUAUUGUACUAUAUUUUGUCUAUAUACAUCUACAACCAAGUAGUAUGUACACUGCUCUUUGUGCACGGCAGUAUAUACAUCAUUUUUUGUAAGGCAAUAUAUAAUACCUUUUUUUGUGAACCAGUAUACUACUUUAUUUUAGUCAGUAUAUACAUAAUUUUUGGUCGAUAUAUACUACUUUUCUGUAGUCGGCAUAUACUACUGUUCGUGAUAUAGUAAAGGGUAAAGCAGCGUGCACAUGACACGCAGCAGCCGUUGUCGACUAUACGGUGGUGCCGCUGCAUCGAUCUAGCAGUGCAUGUCACGCCACCACCGUUUCUUAUUGCUGCCGUUGUCGAUGAGAUUGGUGGUGCCGUCACAUGGAUCGAUCAGUGCACACCAUGCUGCCAUGUUGUCGACGAGAUGGUGGUGCCGUCUUAUCCACGAACAGUUCACCUACUCAUUAUCGUCGCAUCCGCUAUGUGACUAGCUGCGUCAAUGGCUUUGUGCCUCGAACCAGAUUGCUUUCAUGCAAAGCCUGUCAUGUUUGCCUCUUAAUGACAACAUCCGCUAAGUCAGUUCUCUCUCACUCUCACGCUCUCUCUCUCUCUCUACUAUUGCAACCAACUGCGAUGAUCUUCUCCAGGUUUUUUGGGCUAGAUACUGAGAUGGCACCACUGCGUUGCUGAAGUUAAACCCUGUUUAUUGGGACGUACAAGCCGGCGGCAAGCACACAUGGCGGCCGGAGACAGGCCAUGUUUUUCCAAUGACUGCUGCUAGGAUUGAUGUCCUAUUGCAGGAGAAACAAUGGCAACUGUCGCAUCGUUUUGUCCAGCGAUGAUAUCAUCCAUGUCUAUUAUUUUGUUGACAAUCACCACAGGCACUCAAUUCACGAGCCAAACAUUGAUGUGGGCUACCAUGGGGGCUAGGAAGCAGCAUCAGCUUGAAGCUAACUUAAAAUUAACUCUAAUGAGCAUUUGGUCUUUAUUCUGUCUCGAUACAAACACAUCAACGUGUGGGCUACCAUCCAUUGAUGCGCAGAGACCAGGUUACGAUGGCAACAUUUAGGCCAAUGUUUUUAUCUACCGAUCGAUCUACAAUUUCCUUUUUCUAUUUAGAGUUGAUCUCUAUUUUCUCUUUUUCUGUUCAUGCUUGUGGCAAAAUUGGAGAUAUUCAUGUCUCACGGGUGUUGCUGCUGCAGCCCAUUCAUGGCGAGGAUACAUGGCUGAUGGCCCACAGAUCCUUAGGGGAUGAAAGGAUCCCCACAUGACUACAGGAAUAGCACUAAAUAAAUUGUGUACUAACUAGAGCAAUGAUAUAUUUCAUAGGUCUAGGAUAUAUAUGUGAAAUAACAAUUUACUUCAUAUAACUACUAGCCUGACAAGUAUUUGGCAUUCUGUCUUUUUAAUAAAGUAGCUGAUCUUUCUACAA
Molecule: long non-coding RNA, 2766 nt
Organism: Triticum aestivum (bread wheat)
Lineage: Eukaryota; Viridiplantae; Streptophyta; Magnoliopsida; Poales; Poaceae
Exons: 2
Source: RefSeq, a predicted model, not a curated record